UUGGUUUUGAAAUGUGAGGACAUGAGAUUUGGAGGGGCCAGGGGUGGAAUGAUAUGCUUUGGCUGUGUCCCUGCCAAAAUCUCAACUUGAAUUAUAUCUCUCAGAAUUCCCACGUGUUGUAGGAGGGACCCAGGGGGAGAUAAUUGAAUCAUGGGGGCCCAUCUUUCCCAUGCUAUUCUCAUGAUAGUGAAUAAGUCUCAGGAGAUCUGAUGGGUUUAUCAGGGGUUUCCACUUUUGCUUCUUCCUCAUUUUCUCUUGCUGCUGCCAUGUAAGAAGUGCCUUUCACCUUCCGCCACGAUUCUCAGGCCUCCCCAGCCAUGUGGAACUCUCUGCCCUCAUCAUGAGACCAUGCCCAGGCUAGUCUGCUGGAAGGAAGUCAGAGGCACACGGAAGAGAGCCACAUUCAGCCAAGGCCAUUCUAGACCAGUUGUUCCCUGUCACUUCACUAAUUGGCCACAGCACAAGGUACACGGAUGGAGCUGGAAGCCAUUAUCCUCAGCAAACUAAUGUAGGAACAGAAAACCAAAUAUUGCAUGUUCUUACUUAUAAGUGGGAGCUGAACAACGAGAACACAUGGACACAGGGAGGGAAACAACACACACUGGGGCCUGUCCAGCAGUAAGGUUGAGGCAGGGAAAGCAUUAGGAAAAAUAGCUAUGCAUGCUGGGCUGAAUACUGGGUGAUGGAUUGAUAGGUGCAGCAAACCACCAUGGCAUAUGUUUACCUUUGUAAGAAACCAGCACAUCCUGCACAUGUACCCUGGAACUUAAAAUAAAAAUUAAAAUGUUUUUUAAAAAAGUCAUGAUGUUUUCUCAGCAGCCCAGUUUACUUUUCCAGACCCCUCUGGCAUGUGUUACUCCAGAAAAAGGCCGGUGUGUGUGAA
Molecule: long non-coding RNA, 883 nt
Filed under: Homo sapiens (human)
Lineage: Eukaryota; Metazoa; Chordata; Mammalia; Primates; Hominidae
Description: HSALNT0174022
Source: RNAcentral